GAUGAACGCUGGCGGCGUGCCUAAUACAUGCAAGUCGAGCGAACAGACGAGGAGCUUGCUCCUCUGACGUUAGCGGCGGACGGGUGAGUAACACGUGGAUAACCUACCUAUAAGACUGGGAUAACUUCGGGAAACCGGAGCUACUACUGGAUAAUAUAUUGAACCGCAUGGUUCAAUAGUGAAUGACGGUUUUCCUGUCACUUAUAGAUGGAUCCGCGCCGCAUUAGCUAGUUGGUAAGGUAACGGCUUACCAAGGCGACGAUGCGUAGCCGACCUGAGAGGGUGAUCAGCCACACUGGAACUGAGACACGGUCCAGACUCCUACGGGAGGCAGCAGUAGGGAAUCUUCCGCAAUGGGCGAAAGCCUGACGAAGCAACGCCGCGUGAGUGAUGAAGGUCUUCGGAUCGUAAAACUCUGUUAUUAGGGAAGAACAAAUGUGUAAGUAACUAUGCACGUCUUGACGGUACCUAAUCAGAAAGCCACGGCUAACUACGUG
This 497-nucleotide ribosomal RNA is filed under the name uncultured bacterium. Its description in RNAcentral is "partial 16S ribosomal RNA". It matches the Rfam family "Bacterial small subunit ribosomal RNA", at positions 28 to 507 of the family's 1533-position model. The record is from RNAcentral.